GACGAACCGUGCGAACGUUAUUCGGAAUCACUGGGCUUAAAGCGCGUGUAGGCGGGACGGCACGUCGGUCGCUGAAAUCCCCCGGCUUAACCGGGGAACGGGCGUCGAUACGACCGUCCUGGAGGGGCGUAGGGGGACCUGGAACUUCCGGUGGAGCGGUGAAAUGCGUUGAGAUCGGAAGGAACGCCCGUGGCGAAAGCGAGGUCCUGGACGCCUACUGACGCUGAGACGCGAAAGCCAGGGGAGCAAACGGG
This 254-nucleotide ribosomal RNA is filed under the name uncultured bacterium. Its description in RNAcentral is "partial 16S ribosomal RNA". It matches the Rfam family "Bacterial small subunit ribosomal RNA", at positions 524 to 776 of the family's 1533-position model. The record is from RNAcentral.